RNAcentral lists this long non-coding RNA (348 nucleotides) under Pan troglodytes (chimpanzee). Its description in RNAcentral is "long non-coding RNA NONPTRT017351". The record is from RNAcentral. Lineage: Eukaryota; Metazoa; Chordata; Mammalia; Primates; Hominidae.
GAAACUAUAAGAUAAGGUCCCCCAGAGUGAUACUGGUACAGAACCUAACACAAGGGAACAAGGCUCUUUUGUCUUUGAUUUUCCAAUCAAACCAGAACAUUUGCAUUCUGGUUUGCCUCUUCUCCAAAGAAUCACAACUCCUCGCCAGCAAGGGAGAAAAACUGGACAGAGAAUGAAUUUAAUGAGUUGACAGAAGUAGGCUUCAGAAAGUGGGUAAUAACAAACUACUUCGAGCUAAAGGAGCAUGUUCUAACCCAGUGCAAGGAAGCUAAGAACCUUGACAAAAGGUUAAAGAAAUUGCUAACUAGAAUAACCAGUUUAGAGAAGAACAUAAAUGACCUGAUGGAG